Rattus norvegicus (Norway rat) is the source of this 30387-nucleotide non-coding RNA. Lineage: Eukaryota; Metazoa; Chordata; Mammalia; Rodentia; Muridae. The record is from RefSeq and is a predicted model, not a curated record.
AGAGGGCGAGGUUCUCCGGACAGUGGGCGGGACUAGAGAGGCCACCUGCAGACACACCCUGGCUUCUCCUGGUCCCUCUUCCCUCCCUUCCCCCUCGGGGCACAGAGACGAUCCACACGUGGGGUCUCCGAGCUCUAGGGUCCUUUUACGUAGCAUAGUCAGGCCUGGGAUCAGAACGUCAUGUUCUUGCUAAAAGUCUCGGUGUGUCCUAGUUGUUUUAGAGACUUGGAGAGGAAUGGGGGUAAAAAAAAACCCCAAAACCCGAGAACUAUCGCGCCAAGAGAAGUCAGGAUUCUAGGAAGCCUAGGACGCCAAACAAAUGGAGACCAAAAAACAAGACGGGAGGACUGGAGACGAAGCAGGCAAAAAGUCAUCAGCCACGGCUGUUGUACGGUGUGUUUCACCUCUCCUACCAAGCCUUCAUCCCUGUCUAUGAGGACGAAGAAGUUACCGGGGAAAUUGGUGAUGGGCCUGGCUGUCCUGGAGAAUGCUCUUGAUUAAGUUGGUGAUAGAAAACGGGAGAACUGAAGACAAGCACUUUAUAAACUCCCUUGUCUGCUUGAAUUUGUAGUGCUGAAAUUCAUGGGUUAAGGCUAUGCUCCUGCAUCAACUACAGAUGGAUCUGGACCCUGGUGUAUUCUCCCUGUGGACCAACAGCUGUCAGAAGACAUUGACACAGGAAGUCAAGGGGCAGGAUCUCCAUCCUCCCAGUUUCUUUGGUUUUACAUAGAACUAAGUGAUCCCGGAGAUCGCUCUCAAGACCAGGAAUCCAUCAGCUUCAGGGGCAAGCAGGGAGGCAGAAAGCUGCUGGGUGCAGAUGGGGAGCAAUGCAGGAUUUGAGCAUGGACUGCACAGAGUUCCUCCCAAGAGAAGAGGAAUGAGGCAGGUUCUGAAGAGAAAGCACUACAGUCAGAGUCUCUGUUGGGACCUAAGAAGUCCAGGAAGCGCAAAUAGGCAACCAGAGCUGAUCUUCUGCCUGUAAUCUUCUACCAUCACUAAGAAUCAUGGGGAGGCAGGUCAGUGGUGUUGUCAGUUUUGAAACCGUAACCUCAUGAUGGCAGUAGAGCUCCACACAAGCGCUUGUGAGUGAUUGUCUCCCGCCCUUCCUGUCUAAAAAAACCACCAAGGGUGGCUGUCCUGACUUCUUCAGCUCAACUUUGAGUAAUUUCACCAGUAUUUUAUUUUAUUUUUUGCCUUUUCCUUUUGUUACCUAAGAUAUCUCCUUUUCUUUCUGUAUGACAGCUCGUUUUUUAUCCAUUUCCAAUACUUAAUGGUCUUCUUAAAAUUUUACAAUGAUUGAUUUUUUCAUGGGUUUUACACCAUAGUUAUUGUGGAGAUUUAGAAGCAAAGGACUAAAGCUCUGGUUGUAGUGAACUGACUAUAUGGACCAGGCUCCUGUGAUAAUAUAAUCUAGUAUGAAGACAGUAACAGGCAUAUAUAGUUAUGUCAUGGGAAACAGUAAUAGGCCUCCAAUGUCGGAAGACUCUUGUGCCCUUGCUCCAGUGUGAACUAAAUCAUCCCCUAGAGAGAAUCAGUGACAGAUCCAUUUGGAAACCACUCUGAUUUCAACGCACAUGUUUCUCCAAGUGGGGUUGUGUAAAGCAUUCAGUGUUGACAGGUAUCUGGAUCCUCUAUCCAGGGCCAUUAGAGUCAGCCUGGCACAGGACACACAAGGCCUUUUGUCUAGAGCCCUUGUCUGGAUCACACACAGCGUGGUAUCCAGGGAAGUCUGUGUGAAGUAGGUAAGAACUAGGUCUCCUGAUGGUUUGCUUUUGUUCAGCCCUGAGGUUGCCACAUGUCCUUUUUUCCCUAGAAGUGAUCCCUGAGAUCUCUCUCAAGACCAGGAAUCCAUCAGACUCCAGGGGCAAGCAGGGAGGCAGAAUGCUGCUGGGUGCAGAUGGGGAGCAAUGCAGGAUUUGAGGGUGGACUGCACAGAGUUCCUCCCAAGAGAAGAGGAAUGAGGCAGGCAAGACCUUUCAGAAUAUGCAGACACUUUUGACUGAGGGACUUGGACCAGGUACAGAGCUGAGCGGAGGCCAGCUAGGCCUCUCACUGUCCAGGUGCUGAUGAGAAAGCAGUACUGAAACUACAGAGUCUCUGUUGAGGCCUCAGGAGAAGUCCAGGAAGCCCAAAUCGGCACCCAGAGCUGAUCUUGUCAUCAGAAAAGCUUCCGCCAUCGCUGAGGAUCAUGGGAAGUAAGGUCAGUGGUGUUGUCAGUUUUGAAACCGCAUCCUCAUGAUGGCAGUAGAGCUCCUCAUAAGCUCUUGUGAGUGAUUGUCUCCCGCCCUUCCUGUCUGAAAAAAACGCCAAAGAUGGCUGUACUGAGUUCUUCAGCUCAUCUUUGAGUAAUUUCACCAGUUUUUUUUUUUUUUUCUUGUUUUAUGGGAUUCUUUUCCUUGUGUGAUCUGGAAUAUUUCUUUUUCUUUCUUUAUGAUGGCUCAUUUUUACCCAUUCCAGAUACUUAUUGGUCUUCGUAAAAUUUUGGAAUGAUUAAUUUUUCAUAGGUUUCACAUGAUAGAGGUAUUGUUUAAAAGCAAAGAACAAUGCUAAGCCCUAGUUGUUGUGAGCUAACUACAUGGACCAGGCUGCCCUGGGUCUUUCCAUGAGACUUCUGUCUUUGCCCCUGGGAAUUUCAGAAUUUCUAGGUUCAUGCUACCAUGACCAGAUGGCAGGAGUAGGUUUCACCUUGUCUUAAAUAACAUCACCGAACAAACCCUCGGCAGUUACUAAUUUUAUCCUAAAGACAACGUCCAGGCUUCAAGGUUUUUCCUUUCUCUUUCUUCAUCCACCAAUUUACCCACCUUUGAAACACAAGUAAAUCCAAGGGGAGUUUAACAGGUCUGAACGGAGAAGGUUCAGUGGAGAGUUACUUCUGUGAAACAGUAAGAAAAUACGAGACAUCCAUGCUUUUGUCUGUCUGUUUUGGUUAUUGUAUUUUUUUUUUAGGCUUGAGCAUGGGGGAGGAGUAGUCAAGGAUGGCCUUUGUGAGCCUCUGCUGUGCCCUACUGCUAUCCUGUAGGCAGAGCUACAGUGCAGGGCCAUUACAGCUUCAUUCCCAUGAGUCCUGGCAAUGGGGAAUCAAUGUCAGGUAGGAUUCCUUUGGCUUCCAAGUGGACCCCAGUGCUUUUCCUCUCCAGCAGGAGAGAUUUGAACACCAGCACUACCUUGGAGCUAAAAAUGAAGAGUACAGGACCAAGAGAAGACCAGUAGACAAGCUGACAUAGGAAGUUGUGGGGCGGGGUUUUGGUCUUUUUAUCUGGGACCUGACAAGAAGAAACCACAGGAAAAGAAGUGCAGGCUCUUGAAGGGGAUGUCUGUCUCCUGCUCCUUGUGCCAUGUGUGGGCCGGAUUUUAAGUUUGCCUUCUUGCUGAGACACAUCCACUCCCCGUUUAGCCCAAGCUGCCCUGGCACACACUGUGUAGUCCCAGCUCCUCUCAGAGGUCCAUGUCUUGGUUGCCAAGGGCAAGUAUAAGACUGAAUGUAUAAUCUAGAGUGAAGACAGUAACAGGCAUAUAUAGUUAUGUCAUGGGAAACAGUAAUAGGCCUCCAAUGUCGGAAGACUCUUGUGCCCUUGCUGCAGUGUGAACUAAAGCAUCCCCUAGAGAGAAUCAGUGACAGAUCCAUUUGGAAACCACUCUGAUUUCAGCGCACAUGUUUCUCCAAGUGGGGUUGUGCAUAGCAUUCAGUGUUGACAGGUAUCUGGAUCCUCUAUCCAGGGCCACUAGAGUCAGCCUGGCACAGGACACACAAGGCCUUUUGUCUAGAGCCCUUGUCUGGAUCACACACAGCGUGGUAUCCAGUCUGUGUGAAGUAGGUAAGAACUAGUGAAAGACCUCCGGAGAGGACCUCUCCCUCAGGAGGAGACCCCAAGCGCCCAAUGACCGAACCGAGGCCACUCCGAUGCAAUCAGCAAGAGGGUUUAUUGGAAAACACAGGUACCUGCGGGCACACAGUCUCUUCAGAGGACUUGCGCGCCCAGCAGCUCCAGCAUGGGGCUUUUAUAGGGUUUGGGGAAGCAGAAGCGGGCGUACAGAAGCAGAUGCAUAGUUACGGGGAUUGGUGGAUUUAAACGAGGCAUAUAGACAUGUUCACAUAUGAUUGGUUAUUUCACAUGAUGAGGUAAUAAGGUAUAGCUACACACAUUGGCAGGUUUGCAUCAUAUUCAACUGAGGUUGUAACAUGGUAAAAGAGUACAUGCGGGCUGGGACGUCCUGAAUGUCGGGGGCUAGGGGCUUAUCCCUUCCUGCCAGAUCUGGUACUCCUAGUCUGUUCUGUAUUCCUUUCCUUUUAUGGUCUGUUAGUUUUAACGGUGACUCGGCCCUAGGUAUCUGGGUGUGCCUGGGCUCCUUCAAGCCUGUUGCAGCUCUGAGUUAAGACUCAUGGGGUGGGUCUUUCACUAGGUCCACUGAUGGUUUGCUUUUGUGCAGCCCUGAGGUUGCCACUUGUCCUUUUUCUCCCUAGAAGUGAUCCCUGAGAUCACUCUCAAGACCAGGAAUCCAUCAGACUUCAGGGCCAAGCAGGGAGGCAGAAUGCUGCUGGGUGCAGAUGGGGAGCAAGGCAGGAUUUCAGCAUGGACUGCACAGAAUUCCUCCCAAGAGAAGAGGAAUGAGGCAGGCAGGACCUCUGAGAAUAUGCAGACUGUUUUGACUGAGGGACUUGGACCAGGUACAGAGCUGACCUGAGGUACUAGAAGAGGAAGCAGAGGGGCAGGUUUAACUAGCGUUCACUUGGCAAUGUUAACCUACUAGUUGGUGGCCUAGGCCAGCUAGGCCUCUCACUGUCCAGGUUCUGAUGAGAAAGCAGUACUGAAACUACAGAGUCUCUGUUGAGGCCUCAGGAGAAGUCCAGGGAGCCCAAAUCGGCACCCAGAGCUGAUCUUGCCACCAGAAAAGCUUCCGCCAUCGCUGAGGAUCAUGGGAAGUAAGGUCAGUGGUGUUGUCAGUUUUGAAACCGCAUCCUCAUGAUGGCAGUAGAGCUCCACACAAGCUCUUGUGAGUGAUUGUCCCCCGCCCUUCCUGUCUGAAAAAACGCCAAAGAUGGCUGUACUGAGUUCUUCAGCUCAUCUUUGAGUAAUUUCACCAGUAUUUUUUUUUUCUUGUUUUAUGGGAUUCUUUUCCUCGUGUGCUCUGGAAUAUUUCUUUUUCUUUCUUUAUGAUGGCUCAUUUUUACCCAUUCCAGAUACUUAAUGGUCUUCGUAAAAUUUUGGAAUGAUUAAUUUUUCAUAGGUUUCACAUGAUAGAGGUAUUGUUUAAAAGCAAAGAACAAUGCUAAGCCCUAGUUGUUGUGAGCUAACUACAUGGACCAGGCUGGCCUGGGUCUUUCCUUGAGACUUCUGUCUUUGCCCCUGAGAAUUUCAGAAUUUCUAGGUUCAUGCUACCAUGACCAGAUGGCAGGAGUAGGUUUCACCUUGUCUUAAAUAACAUCACCGAACAAACCCUCGGCAGUUACUAAUUUUAUCCUAAAGACAACGUCCAGGCUUCAAGGUUUUUCCUUUCUCUUUCUUCAUCCACCAAGCUACCCACCUUUGAAACACAAGUAGAUCCAAGGGGUGUUUAACAGGUCUGAACGAAGAAGGUUCAGUGGAGAGUUACUUCUGUGAAACAGUAAGAAAAUACGAGACAUCCACGCUUUUGUCUCUCUGUUUUGGUUAUUGUAUUUUUUUUUAGGCUUGAGCAUGGGGGAGGAGUAGUCAAGGAUGGCCUUUGUGAGCCUCUGCUGUGCCCUACUGCUAUCCUGUAGGCAGAGCUACAGUGCAGGGCCAUUACAGCUUCAUUCCCAUGAGUCCUGGCAAUGGGGAAUCAAUGCCAGGUAGGAUUCCUUUGGCUUCCACAGUGGACCCCAGUGCUUUUCCUCUCCAGCAGGAGAGAUUUGAACACCACUACUACCUAGGAGCUAAAAAUGAAGAGUACAGGACCAAGAGAAGACCAGUAGGGACUGAGACAGGCUGACACAGGAUGUUGUGGGGUGGGGCUUUGGCCUUUUUAUCUGGGACACCUGCUCCUUGUGCCAUGUGUGGGUAGGAUUUUCUUGCUGAGACACAGCUACUCCCCGUUUAGCCCAAGCCGCCCUGGCACUCAUUAUGUAGUCCCAGCUCCUCUCCGAGGUCUAUGCCUUGGUUGCCAAGGGCAAGUGUAAGACUGAAUGUAUAAUCUAGAGUGAAGACAGUAACAGGCAUAUAUAGUUAUGUCAUGGGAAACAGUAAGAGACCUCCAAUGUCGGAAGACUCUUGUGCCCUUGCUCCAGUGUGAACUAAAUCAUCCCCUAGAGAGAAUCAGUGACAGAUCCAUUUGGAAACCACUCUGAUUUCAGCGCACAUGUUUCUCCAAGUGGGGUUGUGUAAAGCAUUCAGUGUUGACAGGUAUCUGGAUCCUCUAUCCAGGGCCACUAGAGUCAGCCUGGCACAGGACACACAAGGCCUUUUGUCUAGAGCCCUUGUCUGGAUCACACACAGCAUGCUAUCCAGGGAAGUCUAUGUGAAGUAGGUAAGAACUAGGUCCCCUGAUGGUUUGCUUUAGUGCAGCCCUGAGGUUGCCACAUGUCCUUUUUCUCCCUAGAAGUGAUCCCAGAGAUCGCUCUCAAGACCAGGAAUCCAUCAGACUCCAGGGGCAAGCAUGGAGGCUGAAUGCUGCUGGGUGCAGAUGGGGAGCAAUGCAGGAUUUGAGCGUGGACUGCACAGAGUUCCUCCCAAGAGAAGAGGAAUGAGGCAGGCAGGACCUCUGAGAAUAUGCAGACUGUUUUGACUGAGGGACUUGGACCAGGCCAGCUAGGCCUCUCACUGUCCAGGUGCUGAUGAGAAAGCAGUACUGAAACUACAGAGUCUCUGUUGAGGCCUCAGGAGAAGUCCAGGAAGCCCAAAUCGGCACCCAGAGCUGAUCUUGUCAUCAGAAAAGCUUCCGCCAUCGCUGAGGAUCAUGGGAAGUAAGGUCAGUGGUGUUGUCAGUUUUGAAACCGCAUCCUCAUGAUGGCAGUAGAGCUCCUCAUAAGCUCUUGUGAGUGAUUGUCUCCCGCCCUUCCUGUCUGAAAAAAACGCCAAAGAUGGCUGUACUGAGUUCUUCAGCUCAUCUUUGAGUAAUUUCACCAGUUUUUUUUUUUUUUUUCUUGUUUUAUGGGAUUCUUUUCCUUGUGUGAUCUGGAAUAUUUCUUUUUCUUUCUUUAUGAUGGCUCAUUUUUACCCAUUCCAGAUACUUAUUGGUCUUCGUAAAAUUUUGGAAUGAUUAAUUUUUCAUAGGUUUCACAUGAUAGAGGUAUUGUUUAAAAGCAAAGAACAAUGCUAAGCCCUAGUUGUUGUGAGCUAACUACAUGGACCAGGCUGGCCUGGGUCUUUCCUUGAGACUUCUGUCUUUGCCCCUGGGAAUUUCAGAAUUUCUAGGUUCAUGCUACCAUGACCAGAUGGCAGGAGUAGGUUUCACCUUGUCUUAAAUAACAUCACCGAACAAACCCUCGGCAGUUACUAAUUUUAUCCUAAAGACAACGUCCAGGCUUCAAGGUUUUUCCUUUCUCUUUCUUCAUCCACCAAUUUACCCACCUUUGAAACACAAGUAAAUCCAAGGGGAGUUUAACAGGUCUGAACGGAGAAGGUUCAGUGGAGAGUUACUUCUGUGAAACAGUAAGAAAAUAGGAGACAUCCAUGCUUUUGUCUGUCUGUUUUGGUUAUUGUAUUUUUUUUUUAGGCUUGAGCAUGGGGGAGGAGUAGUCAAGGAUGGCCUUUGUGAGCCUCUGCUGUGCCCUACUGCUAUCCUGUAGGCAGAGCUACAGUGCAGGGCCAUUACAGCUUCAUUCCCAUGAGUCCUGGCAAUGGGGAAUCAAUGUCAGGUAGGAUUCCUUUGGCUUCCAAGUGGACCCCAGUGCUUUUCCUCUCCAGCAGGAGAGAUUUGAACACCAGCACUACCUUGGAGCUAAAAAUGAAGAGUACAGGACCAAGAGAAGACCAGUAGACAAGCUGACAUAGGAAGUUGUGGGGCGGGGUUUUGGUCUUUUUAUCUGGGACCUGACAAGAAGAAACCACAGGAAAAGAAGUGCAGGCUCUUGAAGGGGAUGUCUGUCUCCUGCUCCUUGUGCCAUGUGUGGGCCGGAUUUUAAGUUUGCCUUCUUGCUGAGACACAUCCACUCCCCGUUUAGCCCAAGCUGCCCUGGCACACACUGUGUAGUCCCAGCUCCUCUCAGAGGUCCAUGUCUUGGUUGCCAAGGGCAAGUAUAAGACUGAAUGUAUAAUCUAGAGUGAAGACAGUAACAGGCAUAUAUAGUUAUGUCAUGGGAAACAGUAAUAGGCCUCCAAUGUCGGAAGACUCUUGUGCCCUUGCUGCAGUGUGAACUAAAGCAUCCCCUAGAGAGAAUCAGUGACAGAUCCAUUUGGAAACCACUCUGAUUUCAGCGCACAUGUUUCUCCAAGUGGGGUUGUGCAUAGCAUUCAGUGUUGACAGGUAUCUGGAUCCUCUAUCCAGGGCCACUAGAGUCAGCCUGGCACAGGACACACAAGGCCUUUUGUCUAGAGCCCUUGUCUGGAUCACACACAGCGUGGUAUCCAGUCUGUGUGAAGUAGGUAAGAACUAGUGAAAGACCUCCGGAGAGGACCUCUCCCUCAGGAGGAGACCCCAAGCGCCCAAUGACCGAACCGAGGCCACUCCGAUGCAAUCAGCAAGAGGGUUUAUUGGAAAACACAGGUACCUGCGGGCACACAGUCUCUUCAGAGGACUUGCGCGCCCAGCAGCUCCAGCAUGGGGCUUUUAUAGGGUUUGGGGAAGCAGAAGCGGGCGUACAGAAGCAGAUGCAUAGUUACGGGGAUUGGUGGAUUUAAACGAGGCAUAUAGACAUGUUCACAUAUGAUUGGUUAUUUCACAUGAUGAGGUAAUAAGGUAUAGCUACACACAUUGGCAGGUUUGCAUCAUAUUCAACUGAGGUUGUAACAUGGUAAAAGAGUACAUGCGGGCUGGGACGUCCUGAAUGUCGGGGGCUAGGGGCUUAUCCCUUCCUGCCAGAUCUGGUACUCCUAGUCUGUUCUGUAUUCCUUUCCUUUUAUGGUCUGUUAGUUUUAACGGUGACUCGGCCCUAGGUAUCUGGGUGUGCCUGGGCUCCUUCAAGCCUGUUGCAGCUCUGAGUUAAGACUCAUGGGGUGGGUCUUUCACUAGGUCCACUGAUGGUUUGCUUUUGUGCAGCCCUGAGGUUGCCACUUGUCCUUUUUCUCCCUAGAAGUGAUCCCUGAGAUCACUCUCAAGACCAGGAAUCCAUCAGACUUCAGGGCCAAGCAGGGAGGCAGAAUGCUGCUGGGUGCAGAUGGGGAGCAAGGCAGGAUUUCAGCAUGGACUGCACAGAAUUCCUCCCAAGAGAAGAGGAAUGAGGCAGGCAGGACCUCUGAGAAUAUGCAGACUGUUUUGACUGAGGGACUUGGACCAGGUACAGAGCUGACCUGAGGUACUAGAAGAGGAAGCAGAGGGGCAGGUUUAACUAGCGUUCACUUGGCAAUGUUAACCUACUAGUUGGUGGCCUAGGCCAGCUAGGCCUCUCACUGUCCAGGUUCUGAUGAGAAAGCAGUACUGAAACUACAGAGUCUCUGUUGAGGCCUCAGGAGAAGUCCAGGGAGCCCAAAUCGGCACCCAGAGCUGAUCUUGCCACCAGAAAAGCUUCCGCCAUCGCUGAGGAUCAUGGGAAGUAAGGUCAGUGGUGUUGUCAGUUUUGAAACCGCAUCCUCAUGAUGGCAGUAGAGCUCCACACAAGCUCUUGUGAGUGAUUGUCCCCCGCCCUUCCUGUCUGAAAAAACGCCAAAGAUGGCUGUACUGAGUUCUUCAGCUCAUCUUUGAGUAAUUUCACCAGUAUUUUUUUUUUCUUGUUUUAUGGGAUUCUUUUCCUCGUGUGCUCUGGAAUAUUUCUUUUUCUUUCUUUAUGAUGGCUCAUUUUUACCCAUUCCAGAUACUUAUUGGUCUUCGUAAAAUUUUGGAAUGAUUAAUUUUUCAUAGGUUUCACAUGAUAGAGGUAUUGUUUAAAAGCAAAGAACAAUGCUAAGCCCUAGUUGUUGUGAGCUAACUACAUGGACCAGGCUGGCCUGGGUCUUUCCUUGAGACUUCUGUCUUUGCCCCUGAGAAUUUCAGAAUUUCUAGGUUCAUGCUACCAUGACCAGAUGGCAGGAGUAGGUUUCACCUUGUCUUAAAUAACAUCACCGAACAAACCCUCGGCAGUUACUAAUUUUAUCCUAAAGACAACGUCCAGGCUUCAAGGUUUUUCCUUUCUCUUUCUUCAUCCACCAAGCUACCCACCUUUGAAACACAAGUAGAUCCAAGGGGUGUUUAACAGGUCUGAACGAAGAAGGUUCAGUGGAGAGUUACUUCUGUGAAACAGUAAGAAAAUACGAGACAUCCACGCUUUUGUCUCUCUGUUUUGGUUAUUGUAUUUUUUUUUAGGCUUGAGCAUGGGGGAGGAGUAGUCAAGGAUGGCCUUUGUGAGCCUCUGCUGUGCCCUACUGCUAUCCUGUAGGCAGAGCUACAGUGCAGGGCCAUUACAGCUUCAUUCCCAUGAGUCCUGGCAAUGGGGAAUCAAUGCCAGGUAGGAUUCCUUUGGCUUCCACAGUGGACCCCAGUGCUUUUCCUCUCCAGCAGGAGAGAUUUGAACACCACUACUACCUAGGAGCUAAAAAUGAAGAGUACAGGACCAAGAGAAGACCAGUAGGGACUGAGACAGGCUGACACAGGAUGUUGUGGGGUGGGGCUUUGGCCUUUUUAUCUGGGACACCUGCUCCUUGUGCCAUGUGUGGGUAGGAUUUUCUUGCUGAGACACAGCUACUCCCCGUUUAGCCCAAGCCGCCCUGGCACUCAUUAUGUAGUCCCAGCUCCUCUCCGAGGUCUAUGCCUUGGUUGCCAAGGGCAAGUGUAAGACUGAAUGUAUAAUCUAGAGUGAAGACAGUAACAGGCAUAUAUAGUUAUGUCAUGGGAAACAGUAAGAGACCUCCAAUGUCGGAAGACUCUUGUGCCCUUGCUCCAGUGUGAACUAAAUCAUCCCCUAGAGAGAAUCAGUGACAGAUCCAUUUGGAAACCACUCUGAUUUCAGCGCACAUGUUUCUCCAAGUGGGGUUGUGUAAAGCAUUCAGUGUUGACAGGUAUCUGGAUCCUCUAUCCAGGGCCACUAGAGUCAGCCUGGCACAGGACACACAAGGCCUUUUGUCUAGAGCCCUUGUCUGGAUCACACACAGCAUGCUAUCCAGGGAAGUCUAUGUGAAGUAGGUAAGAACUAGGUCCCCUGAUGGUUUGCUUUAGUGCAGCCCUGAGGUUGCCACAUGUCCUUUUUCUCCCUAGAAGUGAUCCCAGAGAUCGCUCUCAAGACCAGGAAUCCAUCAGACUCCAGGGGCAAGCAUGGAGGCUGAAUGCUGCUGGGUGCAGAUGGGGAGCAAUGCAGGAUUUGAGCGUGGACUGCACAGAGUUCCUCCCAAGAGAAGAGGAAUGAGGCAGGCAGGACCUCUGAGAAUAUGCAGACUGUUUUGACUGAGGGACUUGGACCAGGUACAGAGCUGACCUGAGGCCAGCUAGGCCUCUCACUGUCCAGGUGCUGAUGAGAAAGCAGUACUGAAACUACAGAGUCUCUGUUGAGGCCUCAGGAGAAGUCCAGGAAGCCCAAAUCGGCACCCAGAGCUGAUCUUGUCAUCAGAAAAGCUUCCGCCAUCGCUGAGGAUCAUGGGAAGUAAGGUCAGUGGUGUUGUCAGUUUUGAAACCGCAUCCUCAUGAUGGCAGUAGAGCUCCUCAUAAGCUCUUGUGAGUGAUUGUCUCCCGCCCUUCCUGUCUGAAAAAAACGCCAAAGAUGGCUGUACUGAGUUCUUCAGCUCAUCUUUGAGUAAUUUCACCAGUUUUUUUUUUUUUUUCUUGUUUUAUGGGAUUCUUUUCCUUGUGUGAUCUGGAAUAUUUCUUUUUCUUUCUUUAUGAUGGCUCAUUUUUACCCAUUCCAGAUACUUAUUGGUCUUCGUAAAAUUUUGGAAUGAUUAAUUUUUCAUAGGUUUCACAUGAUAGAGGUAUUGUUUAAAAGCAAAGAACAAUGCUAAGCCCUAGUUGUUGUGAGCUAACUACAUGGACCAGGCUGGCCUGGGUCUUUCCUUGAGACUUCUGUCUUUGCCCCUGGGAAUUUCAGAAUUUCUAGGUUCAUGCUACCAUGACCAGAUGGCAGGAGUAGGUUUCACCUUGUCUUAAAUAACAUCACCGAACAAACCCUCGGCAGUUACUAAUUUUAUCCUAAAGACAACGUCCAGGCUUCAAGGUUUUUCCUUUCUCUUUCUUCAUCCACCAAUUUACCCACCUUUGAAACACAAGUAAAUCCAAGGGGAGUUUAACAGGUCUGAACGGAGAAGGUUCAGUGGAGAGUUACUUCUGUGAAACAGUAAGAAAAUACGAGACAUCCAUGCUUUUGUCUGUCUGUUUUGGUUAUUGUAUUUUUUUUUUAGGCUUGAGCAUGGGGGAGGAGUAGUCAAGGAUGGCCUUUGUGAGCCUCUGCUGUGCCCUACUGCUAUCCUGUAGGCAGAGCUACAGUGCAGGGCCAUUACAGCUUCAUUCCCAUGAGUCCUGGCAAUGGGGAAUCAAUGUCAGGUAGGAUUCCUUUGGCUUCCAAGUGGACCCCAGUGCUUUUCCUCUCCAGCAGGAGAGAUUUGAACACCAGCACUACCUUGGAGCUAAAAAUGAAGAGUACAGGACCAAGAGAAGACCAGUAGACAAGCUGACAUAGGAAGUUGUGGGGCGGGGUUUUGGUCUUUUUAUCUGGGACCUGACAAGAAGAAACCACAGGAAAAGAAGUGCAGGCUCUUGAAGGGGAUGUCUGUCUCCUGCUCCUUGUGCCAUGUGUGGGCCGGAUUUUAAGUUUGCCUUCUUGCUGAGACACAUCCACUCCCCGUUUAGCCCAAGCUGCCCUGGCACACACUGUGUAGUCCCAGCUCCUCUCAGAGGUCCAUGUCUUGGUUGCCAAGGGCAAGUAUAAGACUGAAUGUAUAAUCUAGAGUGAAGACAGUAACAGGCAUAUAUAGUUAUGUCAUGGGAAACAGUAAUAGGCCUCCAAUGUCGGAAGACUCUUGUGCCCUUGCUGCAGUGUGAACUAAAGCAUCCCCUAGAGAGAAUCAGUGACAGAUCCAUUUGGAAACCACUCUGAUUUCAGCGCACAUGUUUCUCCAAGUGGGGUUGUGCAUAGCAUUCAGUGUUGACAGGUAUCUGGAUCCUCUAUCCAGGGCCACUAGAGUCAGCCUGGCACAGGACACACAAGGCCUUUUGUCUAGAGCCCUUGUCUGGAUCACACACAGCGUGGUAUCCAGUCUGUGUGAAGUAGGUAAGAACUAGUGAAAGACCUCCGGAGAGGACCUCUCCCUCAGGAGGAGACCCCAAGCGCCCAAUGACCGAACCGAGGCCACUCCGAUGCAAUCAGCAAGAGGGUUUAUUGGAAAACACAGGUACCUGCGGGCACACAGUCUCUUCAGAGGACUUGCGCGCCCAGCAGCUCCAGCAUGGGGCUUUUAUAGGGUUUGGGGAAGCAGAAGCGGGCGUACAGAAGCAGAUGCAUAGUUACGGGGAUUGGUGGAUUUAAACGAGGCAUAUAGACAUGUUCACAUAUGAUUGGUUAUUUCACAUGAUGAGGUAAUAAGGUAUAGCUACACACAUUGGCAGGUUUGCAUCAUAUUCAACUGAGGUUGUAACAUGGUAAAAGAGUACAUGCGGGCUGGGACGUCCUGAAUGUCGGGGGCUAGGGGCUUAUCCCUUCCUGCCAGAUCUGGUACUCCUAGUCUGUUCUGUAUUCCUUUCCUUUUAUGGUCUGUUAGUUUUAACGGUGACUCGGCCCUAGGUAUCUGGGUGUGCCUGGGCUCCUUCAAGCCUGUUGCAGCUCUGAGUUAAGACUCAUGGGGUGGGUCUUUCACUAGGUCCACUGAUGGUUUGCUUUUGUGCAGCCCUGAGGUUGCCACUUGUCCUUUUUCUCCCUAGAAGUGAUCCCUGAGAUCACUCUCAAGACCAGGAAUCCAUCAGACUUCAGGGCCAAGCAGGGAGGCAGAAUGCUGCUGGGUGCAGAUGGGGAGCAAGGCAGGAUUUCAGCAUGGACUGCACAGAAUUCCUCCCAAGAGAAGAGGAAUGAGGCAGGCAGGACCUCUGAGAAUAUGCAGACUGUUUUGACUGAGGGACUUGGACCAGGUACAGAGCUGACCUGAGGUACUAGAAGAGGAAGCAGAGGGGCAGGUUUAACUAGCGUUCACUUGGCAAUGUUAACCUACUAGUUGGUGGCCUAGGCCAGCUAGGCCUCUCACUGUCCAGGUUCUGAUGAGAAAGCAGUACUGAAACUACAGAGUCUCUGUUGAGGCCUCAGGAGAAGUCCAGGGAGCCCAAAUCGGCACCCAGAGCUGAUCUUGCCACCAGAAAAGCUUCCGCCAUCGCUGAGGAUCAUGGGAAGUAAGGUCAGUGGUGUUGUCAGUUUUGAAACCGCAUCCUCAUGAUGGCAGUAGAGCUCCACACAAGCUCUUGUGAGUGAUUGUCCCCCGCCCUUCCUGUCUGAAAAAACGCCAAAGAUGGCUGUACUGAGUUCUUCAGCUCAUCUUUGAGUAAUUUCACCAGUAUUUUUUUUUUCUUGUUUUAUGGGAUUCUUUUCCUCGUGUGCUCUGGAAUAUUUCUUUUUCUUUCUUUAUGAUGGCUCAUUUUUACCCAUUCCAGAUACUUAUUGGUCUUCGUAAAAUUUUGGAAUGAUUAAUUUUUCAUAGGUUUCACAUGAUAGAGGUAUUGUUUAAAAGCAAAGAACAAUGCUAAGCCCUAGUUGUUGUGAGCUAACUACAUGGACCAGGCUGGCCUGGGUCUUUCCUUGAGACUUCUGUCUUUGCCCCUGAGAAUUUCAGAAUUUCUAGGUUCAUGCUACCAUGACCAGAUGGCAGGAGUAGGUUUCACCUUGUCUUAAAUAACAUCACCGAACAAACCCUCGGCAGUUACUAAUUUUAUCCUAAAGACAACGUCCAGGCUUCAAGGUUUUUCCUUUCUCUUUCUUCAUCCACCAAGCUACCCACCUUUGAAACACAAGUAGAUCCAAGGGGUGUUUAACAGGUCUGAACGAAGAAGGUUCAGUGGAGAGUUACUUCUGUGAAACAGUAAGAAAAUACGAGACAUCCACGCUUUUGUCUCUCUGUUUUGGUUAUUGUAUUUUUUUUUAGGCUUGAGCAUGGGGGAGGAGUAGUCAAGGAUGGCCUUUGUGAGCCUCUGCUGUGCCCUACUGCUAUCCUGUAGGCAGAGCUACAGUGCAGGGCCAUUACAGCUUCAUUCCCAUGAGUCCUGGCAAUGGGGAAUCAAUGCCAGGUAGGAUUCCUUUGGCUUCCACAGUGGACCCCAGUGCUUUUCCUCUCCAGCAGGAGAGAUUUGAACACCACUACUACCUAGGAGCUAAAAAUGAAGAGUACAGGACCAAGAGAAGACCAGUAGGGACUGAGACAGGCUGACACAGGAUGUUGUGGGGUGGGGCUUUGGCCUUUUUAUCUGGGACACCUGCUCCUUGUGCCAUGUGUGGGUAGGAUUUUCUUGCUGAGACACAGCUACUCCCCGUUUAGCCCAAGCCGCCCUGGCACUCAUUAUGUAGUCCCAGCUCCUCUCCGAGGUCUAUGCCUUGGUUGCCAAGGGCAAGUGUAAGACUGAAUGUAUAAUCUAGAGUGAAGACAGUAACAGGCAUAUAUAGUUAUGUCAUGGGAAACAGUAAGAGACCUCCAAUGUCGGAAGACUCUUGUGCCCUUGCUCCAGUGUGAACUAAAUCAUCCCCUAGAGAGAAUCAGUGACAGAUCCAUUUGGAAACCACUCUGAUUUCAGCGCACAUGUUUCUCCAAGUGGGGUUGUGUAAAGCAUUCAGUGUUGACAGGUAUCUGGAUCCUCUAUCCAGGGCCACUAGAGUCAGCCUGGCACAGGACACACAAGGCCUUUUGUCUAGAGCCCUUGUCUGGAUCACACACAGCAUGCUAUCCAGGGAAGUCUAUGUGAAGUAGGUAAGAACUAGGUCCCCUGAUGGUUUGCUUUAGUGCAGCCCUGAGGUUGCCACAUGUCCUUUUUCUCCCUAGAAGUGAUCCCAGAGAUCGCUCUCAAGACCAGGAAUCCAUCAGACUCCAGGGGCAAGCAUGGAGGCUGAAUGCUGCUGGGUGCAGAUGGGGAGCAAUGCAGGAUUUGAGCGUGGACUGCACAGAGUUCCUCCCAAGAGAAGAGGAAUGAGGCAGGCAGGACCUCUGAGAAUAUGCAGACUGUUUUGACUGAGGGACUUGGACCAGGUACAGAGCUGACCUGAGGCCAGCUAGGCCUCUCACUGUCCAGGUGCUGAUGAGAAAGCAGUACUGAAACUACAGAGUCUCUGUUGAGGCCUCAGGAGAAGUCCAGGAAGCCCAAAUCGGCACCCAGAGCUGAUCUUGUCAUCAGAAAAGCUUCCGCCAUCGCUGAGGAUCAUGGGAAGUAAGGUCAGUGGUGUUGUCAGUUUUGAAACCGCAUCCUCAUGAUGGCAGUAGAGCUCCUCAUAAGCUCUUGUGAGUGAUUGUCUCCCGCCCUUCCUGUCUGAAAAAAACGCCAAAGAUGGCUGUACUGAGUUCUUCAGCUCAUCUUUGAGUAAUUUCACCAGUUUUUUUUUUUUUUUUCUUGUUUUAUGGGAUUCUUUUCCUUGUGUGAUCUGGAAUAUUUCUUUUUCUUUCUUUAUGAUGGCUCAUUUUUACCCAUUCCAGAUACUUAUUGGUCUUCGUAAAAUUUUGGAAUGAUUAAUUUUUCAUAGGUUUCACAUGAUAGAGGUAUUGUUUAAAAGCAAAGAACAAUGCUAAGCCCUAGUUGUUGUGAGCUAACUACAUGGACCAGGCUGGCCUGGGUCUUUCCUUGAGACUUCUGUCUUUGCCCCUGGGAAUUUCAGAAUUUCUAGGUUCAUGCUACCAUGACCAGAUGGCAGGAGUAGGUUUCACCUUGUCUUAAAUAACAUCACCGAACAAACCCUCGGCAGUUACUAAUUUUAUCCUAAAGACAACGUCCAGGCUUCAAGGUUUUUCCUUUCUCUUUCUUCAUCCACCAAUUUACCCACCUUUGAAACACAAGUAAAUCCAAGGGGAGUUUAACAGGUCUGAACGGAGAAGGUUCAGUGGAGAGUUACUUCUGUGAAACAGUAAGAAAAUACGAGACAUCCAUGCUUUUGUCUGUCUGUUUUGGUUAUUGUAUUUUUUUUUUAGGCUUGAGCAUGGGGGAGGAGUAGUCAAGGAUGGCCUUUGUGAGCCUCUGCUGUGCCCUACUGCUAUCCUGUAGGCAGAGCUACAGUGCAGGGCCAUUACAGCUUCAUUCCCAUGAGUCCUGGCAAUGGGGAAUCAAUGUCAGGUAGGAUUCCUUUGGCUUCCAAGUGGACCCCAGUGCUUUUCCUCUCCAGCAGGAGAGAUUUGAACACCAGCACUACCUUGGAGCUAAAAAUGAAGAGUACAGGACCAAGAGAAGACCAGUAGACAAGCUGACAUAGGAAGUUGUGGGGCGGGGUUUUGGUCUUUUUAUCUGGGACCUGACAAGAAGAAACCACAGGAAAAGAAGUGCAGGCUCUUGAAGGGGAUGUCUGUCUCCUGCUCCUUGUGCCAUGUGUGGGCCGGAUUUUAAGUUUGCCUUCUUGCUGAGACACAUCCACUCCCCGUUUAGCCCAAGCUGCCCUGGCACACACUGUGUAGUCCCAGCUCCUCUCAGAGGUCCAUGUCUUGGUUGCCAAGGGCAAGUAUAAGACUGAAUGUAUAAUCUAGAGUGAAGACAGUAACAGGCAUAUAUAGUUAUGUCAUGGGAAACAGUAAUAGGCCUCCAAUGUCGGAAGACUCUUGUGCCCUUGCUGCAGUGUGAACUAAAGCAUCCCCUAGAGAGAAUCAGUGACAGAUCCAUUUGGAAACCACUCUGAUUUCAGCGCACAUGUUUCUCCAAGUGGGGUUGUGCAUAGCAUUCAGUGUUGACAGGUAUCUGGAUCCUCUAUCCAGGGCCACUAGAGUCAGCCUGGCACAGGACACACAAGGCCUUUUGUCUAGAGCCCUUGUCUGGAUCACACACAGCGUGGUAUCCAGUCUGUGUGAAGUAGGUAAGAACUAGUGAAAGACCUCCGGAGAGGACCUCUCCCUCAGGAGGAGACCCCAAGCGCCCAAUGACCGAACCGAGGCCACUCCGAUGCAAUCAGCAAGAGGGUUUAUUGGAAAACACAGGUACCUGCGGGCACACAGUCUCUUCAGAGGACUUGCGCGCCCAGCAGCUCCAGCAUGGGGCUUUUAUAGGGUUUGGGGAAGCAGAAGCGGGCGUACAGAAGCAGAUGCAUAGUUACGGGGAUUGGUGGAUUUAAACGAGGCAUAUAGACAUGUUCACAUAUGAUUGGUUAUUUCACAUGAUGAGGUAAUAAGGUAUAGCUACACACAUUGGCAGGUUUGCAUCAUAUUCAACUGAGGUUGUAACAUGGUAAAAGAGUACAUGCGGGCUGGGACGUCCUGAAUGUCGGGGGCUAGGGGCUUAUCCCUUCCUGCCAGAUCUGGUACUCCUAGUCUGUUCUGUAUUCCUUUCCUUUUAUGGUCUGUUAGUUUUAACGGUGACUCGGCCCUAGGUAUCUGGGUGUGCCUGGGCUCCUUCAAGCCUGUUGCAGCUCUGAGUUAAGACUCAUGGGGUGGGUCUUUCACUAGGUCCACUGAUGGUUUGCUUUUGUGCAGCCCUGAGGUUGCCACUUGUCCUUUUUCUCCCUAGAAGUGAUCCCUGAGAUCACUCUCAAGACCAGGAAUCCAUCAGACUUCAGGGCCAAGCAGGGAGGCAGAAUGCUGCUGGGUGCAGAUGGGGAGCAAGGCAGGAUUUCAGCAUGGACUGCACAGAAUUCCUCCCAAGAGAAGAGGAAUGAGGCAGGCAGGACCUCUGAGAAUAUGCAGACUGUUUUGACUGAGGGACUUGGACCAGGUACAGAGCUGACCUGAGGUACUAGAAGAGGAAGCAGAGGGGCAGGUUUAACUAGCGUUCACUUGGCAAUGUUAACCUACUAGUUGGUGGCCUAGGCCAGCUAGGCCUCUCACUGUCCAGGUUCUGAUGAGAAAGCAGUACUGAAACUACAGAGUCUCUGUUGAGGCCUCAGGAGAAGUCCAGGGAGCCCAAAUCGGCACCCAGAGCUGAUCUUGCCACCAGAAAAGCUUCCGCCAUCGCUGAGGAUCAUGGGAAGUAAGGUCAGUGGUGUUGUCAGUUUUGAAACCGCAUCCUCAUGAUGGCAGUAGAGCUCCACACAAGCUCUUGUGAGUGAUUGUCCCCCGCCCUUCCUGUCUGAAAAAACGCCAAAGAUGGCUGUACUGAGUUCUUCAGCUCAUCUUUGAGUAAUUUCACCAGUAUUUUUUUUUUCUUGUUUUAUGGGAUUCUUUUCCUCGUGUGCUCUGGAAUAUUUCUUUUUCUUUCUUUAUGAUGGCUCAUUUUUACCCAUUCCAGAUACUUAUUGGUCUUCGUAAAAUUUUGGAAUGAUUAAUUUUUCAUAGGUUUCACAUGAUAGAGGUAUUGUUUAAAAGCAAAGAACAAUGCUAAGCCCUAGUUGUUGUGAGCUAACUACAUGGACCAGGCUGGCCUGGGUCUUUCCUUGAGACUUCUGUCUUUGCCCCUGAGAAUUUCAGAAUUUCUAGGUUCAUGCUACCAUGACCAGAUGGCAGGAGUAGGUUUCACCUUGUCUUAAAUAACAUCACCGAACAAACCCUCGGCAGUUACUAAUUUUAUCCUAAAGACAACGUCCAGGCUUCAAGGUUUUUCCUUUCUCUUUCUUCAUCCACCAAGCUACCCACCUUUGAAACACAAGUAGAUCCAAGGGGUGUUUAACAGGUCUGAACGAAGAAGGUUCAGUGGAGAGUUACUUCUGUGAAACAGUAAGAAAAUACGAGACAUCCACGCUUUUGUCUCUCUGUUUUGGUUAUUGUAUUUUUUUUUAGGCUUGAGCAUGGGGGAGGAGUAGUCAAGGAUGGCCUUUGUGAGCCUCUGCUGUGCCCUACUGCUAUCCUGUAGGCAGAGCUACAGUGCAGGGCCAUUACAGCUUCAUUCCCAUGAGUCCUGGCAAUGGGGAAUCAAUGCCAGGUAGGAUUCCUUUGGCUUCCACAGUGGACCCCAGUGCUUUUCCUCUCCAGCAGGAGAGAUUUGAACACCACUACUACCUAGGAGCUAAAAAUGAAGAGUACAGGACCAAGAGAAGACCAGUAGGGACUGAGACAGGCUGACACAGGAUGUUGUGGGGUGGGGCUUUGGCCUUUUUAUCUGGGACACCUGCUCCUUGUGCCAUGUGUGGGUAGGAUUUUCUUGCUGAGACACAGCUACUCCCCGUUUAGCCCAAGCCGCCCUGGCACUCAUUAUGUAGUCCCAGCUCCUCUCCGAGGUCUAUGCCUUGGUUGCCAAGGGCAAGUGUAAGACUGAAUGUAUAAUCUAGAGUGAAGACAGUAACAGGCAUAUAUAGUUAUGUCAUGGGAAACAGUAAGAGACCUCCAAUGUCGGAAGACUCUUGUGCCCUUGCUCCAGUGUGAACUAAAUCAUCCCCUAGAGAGAAUCAGUGACAGAUCCAUUUGGAAACCACUCUGAUUUCAGCGCACAUGUUUCUCCAAGUGGGGUUGUGUAAAGCAUUCAGUGUUGACAGGUAUCUGGAUCCUCUAUCCAGGGCCACUAGAGUCAGCCUGGCACAGGACACACAAGGCCUUUUGUCUAGAGCCCUUGUCUGGAUCACACACAGCAUGCUAUCCAGGGAAGUCUAUGUGAAGUAGGUAAGAACUAGGUCCCCUGAUGGUUUGCUUUAGUGCAGCCCUGAGGUUGCCACAUGUCCUUUUUCUCCCUAGAAGUGAUCCCAGAGAUCGCUCUCAAGACCAGGAAUCCAUCAGACUCCAGGGGCAAGCAUGGAGGCUGAAUGCUGCUGGGUGCAGAUGGGGAGCAAUGCAGGAUUUGAGCGUGGACUGCACAGAGUUCCUCCCAAGAGAAGAGGAAUGAGGCAGGCAGGACCUCUGAGAAUAUGCAGACUGUUUUGACUGAGGGACUUGGACCAGGUACAGAGCUGACCUGAGGUACUAGAAGAGGAAGCAGAGGGGCAGGUUUAACUAGCGUUCACUUGGCAAUGUUAACCUACUAGUUGGUGGCCUAGGCCAGCUAGGCCUCUCACUGUCCAGGUUCUGAUGAGAAAGCAGUACUGAAACUACAGAGUCUCUGUUGAGGCCUCAGGAGAAGUCCAGGGAGCCCAAAUCGGCACCCAGAGCUGAUCUUGUCAUCAGAAAAGCUUCCGCCAUCGCUGAGGAUCAUGGGAAGUAAGAUACUUAGAGGUGGUAUCAAAAUUUGGAACCAUUAAUUUUUCUGUCCGUCUCAUACAAUAAUGUUUCCUGGGAAUAUCGAAGGAAAUCAACUCCUUCUCUGUUCCCAUCAAAAUGGGGAAGGAGGAAGAGGAGGAUGAAGAGGAAGAGGAGCAGAAGCAGCAAAAUCAGUAGCAGCUGCUUCCCAGGGAUAUCUACUGGACAUGGCCUAACAAAAUAAAAUAGAACAGAGCACAAACUCUCAUAUCAUACCUAGAUGUGGAAUCCAAAUAGGAGGAAAAGAGUUCCAAGCAAAGGAAAAGAUUCAGAGGCACAUGUCAUCCCACCCCUACUGUUAGGAGUCUCACAAGAACACCCAGCUGCUACACAACCAUAAGAACUGGAUGAUAAAGUUUAACCUCCAUGGCACAAGCAAGCACUGGGGUAGACUGCUGCUGGGUGAAGAAGAGACCCAAGACUUGAUCAGUGAGCAGCCAUUGAUUUCUUCCCAAAGUAUGAUGCUUUAGGAAGGCAAAUCGGAAAGAUCACAGUACCUCUCAGAGUAUUAAUGCAGACCCUGUUUACUGAGAAACUUGGACCAAGUGCACAGUUGUCCUGAGGUCCAGGAAGAGGAAGCAGAGGGGCGAGUUUCACUCCAGCUCAGGCUUGAGCAUGGGGGAGGAGUAGUCAAGGAUGGCCUUUGUGAGCCUCUGCUGUGCCCUACUGCCAUCCUGCAGGCAGAGCUACAGUGCAGGGCCAUUACAGCUUCAUUCCCAUGAGUCCUGGCAAUGGGGAAUCAAUGUCAGAAGUGAUCCCAGAGAUCGCUCUCAAGACCAGGAAUCCAUCAGACUCCAGGGGCAAGCAUGGAGGCUGAAUGCUGCUGGGUGCAGAUGGGGAGCAAUGCAGGAUUUGAGCGUGGACUGCACAGAGUUCCUCCCAAGAGAAGAGGAAUGAGGCAGGCAGAUGGGAAACACAGGACCUGUCAGAAUAUUAAUGCAGACCCUGUUGACUGAGAGACUUGGACCAGGCUUGAGCAUGGGGGAGGAGUAGUCAAGGAUGGCCUUUGUGAGCCUCUGCUGUGCCCUACUGCUAUCCUGUAGGCAGAGCUACAGUGCAGGACCAUUACAGCUUCAUUCCCAUGAGUCCUGGCAAUGGGGAAUCAAUGCCAGAAGUGAUCCCAGAGAUCGCUCUCAAGACCAGGAAUCCAUCAGACUCCAGGGGCAAGCAUGGAGGCUGAAUGCUGCUGGGUGCAGAUGGGGAGCAAUGCAGGAUUUGAGCGUGGACUGCACAGAGUUCCUCCCAAGAGAAGAGGAAUGAGGCAGGAAUUUCCUUAUUUCCUGAAUCUAUGCACAAACAUUUUUAAAAUGACCGGUUCAACAGUUAAUGAAGACAGACUCUAGAAGCCAUGCAGUGAAAGUGAUUGCUCGUCUGCUUGUUCUCAGCUCCUGGUCCAGCAGCUCGCCUGCCUGCUCGCUUCCAUGCUUCUCGCAACAUUGGACAUCAAUUUACUACUGGAAAGUGUUAAUAAGCCUCCAAUGAAUUGCUUCCUAGUGGCCCUUCACAAGAAUAGGAGAAUAAUAAGACACUGUCACUUAUCUCAUUGGAAUUUAUAGGCAGUGCAAUGUUUAUUUCUCCCCCUUCGAUUAUGAGCAUUCAAAAUUACUACUUAGAUUCUCCUUAUAUGAUGCUAGUCAACCACCCACUGCCCACACGAGGCCUGUUAUGUCCUUCGGGAUAUGGUGCCCAAGGAAUAAGUGAAUUUGUCUGAGAGUAGGGUUUCUGGUACCUGGAUUUGCUCUAAUGCAGACACGGAGGUUCCAUACAGCAUUUUCUUUCUUCUUUCUAGAAAUGGAUCCUAAGAGCACAAGAUAAUCAUAAAUAUCACAAGAACCCUUUGGAGGUUGAAUGCUGACUUUAUCCAAAGAGAAGAUGCAUGAGGUGCCUCAGGUGAAGCCAAACUAAAGCUCAAAUCUAGAAGGGAUCAUUGGAUGCUUUUCCUAAAACACCAAAGAACUCACUCUAGGCCAGGCUGGUCUGGAACUAACAGAUCCAUCUCCCUCUUCCCCUGCUCAGGAGUGCUGGGAUUCAGGGUCUUUAAAGCACAGAACUGCCAACAAUUCAACACAGAGUAUGAAAAAUGGCGGCGAAGUACAGUGUCGAAUAACUGGAUGCUGAGACUUGCCCCCCAAAUCCCAAAACAAUCAGGUAGCAUGAGAAAGCACUGGAGCUAGAAUGAUGCUGGCUGAAGACAGGGAGAAAUGCAGGAUUGUCAUUGACUAGGCUGUCACUUCUGGCUCUCAGGUCUUCAGAGAGGAUGGACAAGGACGGGAGGCACACUGGAAUCACAGGACAUUACAGAGUAUUAAUGCAGACCCUGUUGACUGAGACACUUUCACCAAGUACACAGAUGACCCGAGGCCUAGGAACAGGAGGCAGAGGGGCAGGUUUCACCCAAGCUCGGCUAGGGAUGUUAACCUACUACCUGGUGGCCUAGAGCAGCCAGGCCUCACUCUCUCCAGGUUCUGAAGAGAAAGCAUUACAGUCAGAGUCUCUGUUGGGGCCUGAGGAGAAGUCCAGGAAACACAAAUAGGCAGCUAAACCUGCUUUUGCUAGCUGUAAUCUUCCGCCAUCGCUAAGAAUCAUGGGGAGGCAGGCAGUGGCGCUGUGAAUUUUGAAAUCAUAACCUCAUGAUGGCAGUAGAGCUCCACACAAGCUCUUGUGAGUAAUUAUCCCCCGCCCUUCCUAUCUGAAAAAAACGUCAAGGAUGGCUGUACUGAGUUCUUCAGCCCAACUUUGAAUACUUUCAGCAGUAUUUUUUUUUUUUUUUUUUUGUCCUAUGGGGAUCUUUUCCUUGUGUUAUCUAAUAUAUCUCCUUUUUUUUCUCUAUGACAACUCAUUUUUUAUCCAUUUACAAUAUUUAAUGAUCUUAAAGUUUUACAAUGAUUAAUUUUUCAUGGGUUUUACACCAUAGAGUUAUUGUGGAGAUUUAGAAGCAAAGCAAAGAACUAUGCUAAGCCCUGGUUGUAGUGAACUGACUAUAUGGACCAGGCUGCUGUGAUAAUAUAAUCUAGAGUGAAGACAGUAACAGGCAUAUAUAGUUAUGUCAUGGGAAACAGUAAUAGGCCUCCAAUCUAGGAAGACUCUUGUGCCCCUGCUCCAGUGUGAACUAAAGCAUCCCCUAGAGAGAAUCAGUGACAGAUCCAUUUGGAAACCACUCUGAUUUCAACGCACAUGUUUCUCCAAGUGGGGUUGUGUAAAGCAUUCAGUGUUGACAGGUAUCUGGAUCCUCUAUCCAGGGCCACUAGAGUCAGCCUGGCACAGGACACACAAGGCCUUUUGUCUAGAGCCCUUGUCUGGAUCACACACAGCGUGCUAUCCAGGGAAGUCUAUGUGAAGUAGGUAAGAACUAGGUCCCCUGAUGGUUUGCUUUUGUGCAGCCCUGAGGUUGCAGCAUGUCUUUUCUCCCUUGAAGUGAUCCCUGAGAUCGCUCUCAAGACCAGGAAUCCAUCAGACUUCAGGGCCAAGCAGGGAGGCAGAAUGCUGCUGGGGGCAGAUGGGGAGCAAUGCAGGAUUUGAGCGUGGACUGCACAGAGUUCCUCCCAAGAGAAGAGGAAUGAGGCAGGCAGGACCUCUCAGAAUACGCAGACUGUUUUCACUGAGGGACUUGGACCAGGUACAGAGCUGACCUGAGGUACUAGAGCAGGAAGCAGAGGGGCGGGUUUCACUGGCGUUCACUUGGCAAUGUUAACCUACUAGCUGGUGGCCUAGGCCAGCUAGGCCUCUCACCAGGUUCUGAUGAGAAAGCAGUACUGAAACUACAGAGUCUCUGUUGGGGCCUUAGGAGAAGUCCGGGAAGCCCAAGUAGGCACCCAGAGCUGAUCUUGCCAUUAAAAAAGCUUCCGCCAUCGCUAAGGAUCAUGGGAAGUAAGGUCAGUGGUGUUGUCAGUUUUGAAGCCGCAUCCGCAUGAUGGCAGUAGAGCUCCACACAAGCUCUUGUGAGUGAUUGUCUCCCGCCCUUCCUGUCUGAAAAAACGCCAAAGAUGGCUGUCCUGAGUUCUUCAGCUCAUCUUUGAGUAAUUUCACCAGUAUUUUUUUUUUUUUUCUUGUUUUAUGGGAUUCUUUUCCUUGUGUGAUCUGGAAUAUUUCUUUUUCUUUCUUUAUGACGGCUCAUUUUUACCCAUUCCAGAUACUUAUUGGUCUUCGUAAAAUUUUGGAAUGAUUAAUUUUUCAUAGGUUUCACAUGAUAGAGGUAUUGUUUAAAAGCAAAGAACAAUGCUAAGCCCUAGUUGUUGUGAGCUAACUACAUGGACCAGGCUGGCCUGGGUCUUUCCAUGAGACUUCUGUCUUUGCCCCUGAGAAUUUCAGAAUUUCUAGGUUCAUGCUACCAUGACCAGAUGGCAGGAGUAGGUUUCACCUUGUCUUAAAUAACAUCACCGAACAAACCCUUGGCAAUUAUUACUUUUAUCCUAAAGACAACGUCCAGGCUUCAAGGUUUUCCCUUUCUCUUUCUUCAUCCACCAAUUUACCCACCUUUGAAACACAAGUAAAUCCAAGGGGAGUUUAACAGGUCUGAACGGAGAAGGUUCAGUGGAGAGUUACUUCUGUGAAACAGUAAGAAAAUACGAGACAUCCACGCUUUUGUCUCUCUGUUUUGGUUAUUGUAUUUUUUUUUUUAGGCUUGAGCAUGGGGGAGGAGUAGUCAAGGAUGGCCUUUGUGAGCCUCUGCUGUGCCCUACUGCCAUCCUGCAGGUAGAGCUACAGUGCAGGGCCAUUACAGCUUCAUUCCCAUGAGUCCUGGCAAUGGGGAAUCAAUGUCAGGUAGGAUUCCUUUGACUUCCAAGUGGACUCCAGUGCUUUUCCUCUCCAGCAGGAGAGAUUUGAACACCAGCACUACCUUGGAGCUAAAAAUGAAGAGUACAGGACUAAGAGAAGACCAGUAGACAAGCUGACAUAGGAAGUUGUGGGGCGGGGUUUUGGUCUUUUUAUCUGGGACCUGACAAGAAGAAACCACAGGAAAAGAAAUGCAGGCUCUUGAAGGGGAUGUCUGUCUCCUGCUCCUUGUGCCAUGUGUGGGCCGGAUUUUAAGUUUGCCUUCUUGCUGAGACACAUCCACUCCCCGUUUAGCCCAAGCUGCCCUGGCACACACUGUGUAGUCCCAGCUCCUCUCAGAGGUCCAUGUCUUGGUUGCCAAGGGCAAGUAUAAGACUGAAUGUAUAAUCUAGAGUGAAGACAGUAACAGGCAUAUGUAGUUAUGUCAUGGGAAACAGUAAUAGGCCUCCAAUCUAGGAAGACUCUUGUGCCCUUGCUGCAGUGUGAACUAAAGCAUCCCCUAGAGAGAAUCAGUGACAGAUCCAUUUGGAAACCACUCUGAUUUCAACGCACAUGUUUCUCCAAGUGGGGUUGUGCAUAGCAUUCAGUGUUGACAGGUAUCUGGAUCCUCUAUCCAGGGCCACUAGAGUCAGCCUGGCACAGGACACACAAGGCCUUUUGUCUAAAGCCCUUGUCUGGAUCACACACAGCGUGCUAUCCAGGGAAGUCUGUGUGAAGUAGGUAAGAACUAGGUCCCCUGAUGGUUUACUUUUGUUCAGCCCUGAGGUUGCAACAUGUCUUUUUUCUCCCUUGAAGUGAUCCCUGAGAUCGCUCUCAAGACCAGGAAUCCAUCAGACUUCAGGGGCAAGCAUGGAGGCAGAAUGCUGCUGGGGGCAGAUGGGGAGCAAUGCAGGAUUUGAGCGUGGACUGCACAGACUUCCUCCCAAGAGAAGAGGAAUGAGGCAGAUAAGAUGGGUGGAAGAGGAGGGCACCACAAUGGCUCCUCGUAGAGCUCUACUGCCCCCAUGAGGACACAGUUUCAUCAGACAUGUUACCUCCAGUUUCCUUCCCAUGACAGCCCUGGCCUUUAGUGUUCUAGAAGAGAUUGGGCAUUAUUUUCUUUCUACAACCUGGAGAACUGAACCCUAACUGUACAUUAGUGUAGAACCUAGGGGGUGACACGAACUAUCAGCAGUGAAGCAAUUUAAUAGCAUACAUGUUUACUGUAGGUGCGAGUGUACCCCUGUAGUAUGCUUGCCAAGGUCUGAGAACAAUUUGUAAGUGUUAGUUAUCUCCUUUAAAGAGGGUGCUGGAGAUGGAACAGAGGUCCUCAGGCAUACAUGCAACCCCAGUAUCACAAACGGUUAUCCUCCCACAACCUGAGGACACUGCAGAAAUUCAUAAGUACAGAAAUGAGUAAAAAAGCACUUGGAUUCAGGAUUUACUAGACAUGCCCUCAGAAUUCACAUGCUUUCUUUCUACUUUUUAUUCACCUACUGGACAAGUAUCACCAAGUAAAUCAAGCCUGAAUGCACAGGGCUCUGAGGGAAUUUAUCUAGACAAAGGAGAGGUGUUUUCAUGAAGAAGGGUGGUGGUUUGCAAUCUUUGGUUUGAAUUGCAAAUGCAAAAGUAAAAUGGCUGCCUUGUACAACUAGAAUCUGCACAGAAGAGGAAGCAGGCAUUUUUCUUGUCCUUUUUUUCAGACUAAACUGGGGGGAGAAUAGGAUGUAAGGUGGCAUUGCUGAACUUAUCUAGAGCUCUGCUGCCCCCAAGAGGAAUUAGUUUCAACAGGACACCAGCAGUUUCUUUCCUAUAAGCCCCUGCUAGAAGGAAGGCUAGCCUUCAAACUGAAGCUCAUUGUCUUCCAAUGCCCCAAGAAAUGCCAGGAAGCUGGUGUAAUUCCUCAUAGAACCUGAAGGUUGUGGGACCUGAAGUGGACCACAAGUAGUCUGGGAUACUGAAACUGUGCUAUUCCCAGCUUUGAUUUGAAAAUGUAGAAAUAACUCAAAAACAAAUGCAAACUCUCCGUCAUCAAGAUGGCUCCUGCUUGUAAUCCCAGUGUUCUGAAGGUAGGAAAGGACUACAGUGAGCACUAGGUAAACAUGGGCUAGAGAGAAGAUUUUGUGUCAAGGAACUCAAGAAUGAACUUUUAAAAUGGGUUAGAGGCACUGCACUAUGAGAAGGGGUGUGUGUUCCUAUUGCUCUUGCCCAUGCUGGAAGCAGAACUUCACGCACCAUCACUGUUCUACAGCCCUACUUACUAUACCCGCUGGAUCCAGGAACUGCAGCAGUGGAAGACCGGCAAGAAAAGCCAAUUCCACGUGCCAAGGGAGUUUAGAAAAGGCCUGAUGUGUACCCAACUAUCAAAACACAGGGCAAAGAAUUAGGCUUCCAUCUAGAAGAGUAAAUGUAUGUGUGGGGAUGGGUGGGUGGGAUAGAUUCAAUGUAAAUGCUUUUUUUUUUUUUUGGUUCUUUUUUUUGGAGCUGGGGACCGAACCCAGGGCCUUGCGCUUCCUAGGCAAGUGCUCUACCACUGAGCUAAAUCCCCAACCCCGCUUUUUUUUUUUUUUACAGAAAUAGAAUUGCUAAUUGUAAAUGUCACUUGGAAUUUGAAGACAAGUAAUUGACAAUGAAUUUCAUAUAAGACACGGUACCAAGCUCUAUUUACUUUAUCAUUUCUUAAAUGUCUUCUCAAGUAAAAUACAGAAGUCCAGAUAUUCAAAAUAUAAAUAUGAAUAUAUGCCCACAGUUUAAGGUGAUGACAAAGACUGUAUAAAGCUAUGUUUUUAUAAUAUCUGUCAAUGUUGAAGAUUACUUUAUAAUUUAAUAACUAAAGAGAUGUUCAUGAAAAUCUUUUUUUUUCUUUUUUUUUUUUUUUCCUUUUUUUUUUUUUCGGAGCUGGGGACCGAACCCAGGGCCUUGCGCUCGCUAGGCAAGCGCUCUACUGCUGAGCUAAAUCCCCAACCCCGUUCAUGAAAAUCUUGAGUGUAUGAGAAUGGUUUGCUAUGUCUGAAAGCUCUCAGUGUACACAGCUGGGUGACUGUAUUGGAGAAGCCAGUUUUAAACAUCAUUUGUUGAGGUUCCCCCCUCCCCCAAUGGAUUUUGAAGAUACAAAUGUAUCUUUUUCUCUUGGAGGAAUCACACUGUGUAGUCCACCUAGGCUGGCCUCUAACUGGCAAUUCUACCUCAGUCUGGCAUUAUAGAUAUGUAAAGACUUAAGCAUUAAACAACAACAAAAGCUAUGUAGAGACCUUGUCUCAAAAAACACAAACUUCUGAGUAGUGAAAUGACCUUGGGAUUCCCUAGUAUAUAUUAAUUUUAUAUGUAUUAUGUAUGAAAUUUGUUUAACUACUUAGUGAAUAAAAUGCCUUAAUUUUUGUCAUAAAUAGCUGAAAGAAGACUUUUAUUCGGUCCUAGAGAGAUGUUAUAGGAGUCAAGAGCUCUGGUUGCUCUUACAGAGACCUAGUUCAAUUUCCGGUAUUCAUAUAGGUAACCACCACCUAUCAUUGCUAUUUUCCAGGGCUCCAGUGCUUUCUUUUAACCACUGUGAGCAAUACAUAUAUACAGACUAUGUACAUACAUAUGUAUAUACAUAUAUACAUACAUACAGGGAAAACAAGUAAAAAUGAAUACAUCUAAUAAAAAGAUUUAUAUAUGAGCAAAAAAAUGCUAAAAAGAAGCUGUAUCUGGUUGUGAGUAAAAACUGGAAGAACUGGGCUGUGGUGGUACAUGCCUUUAUUCCCAGUGCUUGGAAGGUAGAAGCAGGUGGAUCUCUGACUUCAGGGCUAGCCUGGCCUACAGAGUGAGUUCUGAGGCAGCCGGGGUUACACACAGAAACCCUGUCUCAAAGACAAAAAACAAAUAAACCAACAAGACGUGGAUUAAUCAGUCUUGGAGGAGUCUGUCUUCCGAGGCUGAUGAAUCACAGUCUUAUGGAGAGAUUUGGGUUUUUUCAGGUUUAGAGGACAAUUACUUUAACUUGGGCUAGUUUUAGCCUUCUGAAACAGCCAUUCCUUGUUCCAUUCACUCUGAUGUGAAGCAACACAUCAUGAUAAUACAUAAAAAAGCCUUAGAAGCUAUUAACUUAGCAGAGCACUAGCUUCCACCCAUUCAAGAGUGCAGAAUGUCAACAGGUAGCAUCUUGGAGCUGUAGAAUAACUUCCCUAAUCAUGUUACAGCCACCUCUCCCAUGUAUCCACCAAUGUCUUUUAAACUUGCCCUGAUUCAUGAUUUUAUUUGUUGUAUAAAAGUAUAAAAAUCUUGGGAAACUGUUUCCAUGUUGGAACAUGUAAUCUGGGGUGAUCUAAACCUGUGUUCUCGGGCCAUGGUGACUCAAAAUGGAUCCAGAAUAAACCAUCCUUAUUUCCUUUAA